Molecule: ribosomal RNA, 445 nt
Filed under: uncultured bacterium
Lineage: Bacteria
Description: partial 16S ribosomal RNA
Rfam family: Bacterial small subunit ribosomal RNA
Source: RNAcentral
GUGAGGAAUAUUGGUCAAUGGACGAGAGUCUGAACCAGCCAAGUCGCGUGAAGGAAGACGGUUCUAUGAAUUGUAAACUUCUUUUGUGCAGGAAUAAAGUGGGUUACGUGUAACCUUUUGUAUGUACUGUACGAAUAAGGAUCGGCUAACUCCGUGCCAGCAGCCGCGGUAAUACGGAGGAUCCAAGCGUUAUCCGGAUUUAUUGGGUUUAAAGGGUGCGCAGGCGGGUUGAUAAGUCAGCGGUGAAAGUUUGCAGCUUAACUGUAAAAUUGCCGUUGAAACUGUCGAUCUUUAGUGCAAAUGAGGUAAGCGGAAUGUGUUGUGUAGCGGUGAAAUGCUUCGAUAUAACACAGAACACCGAUUGCGAAGGCAGCUUACUGGGAUGCAACUGACGCUCAUGCACGAAAGCGUGGGGAUCAAACAUGAUUAGAAACCCUGGUAGUCC